CACUAUCGUUAACUGAAUACAUAGGUUAACGAGGCGAACCGGGGGAACUGAAACAUCUAAGUACCCCGAGGAAAAGAAAUCAACCGAGAUUCCCCCAGUAGCGGCGAGCGAACGGGGAGCAGCCCAGAGUCUGAAUCAGCUUGUGUGUUAGUGGAACGGUCUGGAAAGUCCGACGGUACAGGGUGAUAGUCCCGUACACCAAAAUGCACAGGCUGUGAACUCGAAGAGUAGGGCGGGACACGUGGUAUCCUGUCUGAAUAUGGGGGGACCAUCCUCCAAGGCUAAAUACUCCUGACUGACCGAUAGUGAACCAGUACCGUGAGGGAAAGGCGAAAAGAACCCCGGCGAGGGGAGUGAAAAAGAACCUGAAACCGUGUACGUACAAGCAGUGGGAGCACCUUCGGGUGUGACUGCGUACCUUUUGUAUAAUGGGUCAGCGACUUAUAUUCUGUAGCAAGGUUAACCGUAUAGGGGAGCCGCAGGGAAACCGAGUCUUAACUGGGCGUUAAGUUGCAGGGUAUAGACCCGAAACCCGGUGAUCUAGCCAUGGGCAGGUUGAAGGUUGGGUAACACUAACUGGAGGACCGAACCGACUAAUGUUGAAAAAUUAGCGGAUGACUUGUGGCUGGGGGUGAAAGGCCAAUCAAACCGGGAGAUAGCUGGUUCUCCCCGAAAGCUAUUUAGGUAGCGCCUCGUGAACUCAUCUUCGGGGGUAGAGCACUGUUUCGGCUAGGGGGUCAUCCCGACUUACCAACCCGAUGCAAACUACGAAUACCGAAGAAUGUUAUCACGGGAGACACACGGCGGGUGCUAACGUCCGUCGUGAAGAGGGAAACAACCCAGACCGCCAGCUAAGGUCCCAAAGUCAUGGUUAAGUGGGAAACGAUGUGGGAAGGCACAGACAGCCAGGAUGUUGGCUUAGAAGCAGCCAUCAUUUAAAGAAAGCGUAAUAGCUCACUGGUCGAGUCGGCCUGCGCGGAAGAUGUAACGGGGCUAAACCAUGCACCGAAGCUGCGGCAGCGACACUAUGUGUUGUUGGGUAGGGGAGCGUUCUGUAAGCCUGCGAAGGUGUGCUGUGAGGCAUGCUGGAGGUAUCAGAAGUGCGAAUGCUGACAUAAGUAACGAUAAAGCGGGUGAAAAGCCCGCUCGCCGGAAGACCAAGGGUUCCUGUCCAACGUUAAUCGGGGCAGGGUGAGUCGACCCCUAAGGCGAGGCCGAAAGGCGUAGUCGAUGGGAAACAGGUUAAUAUUCCUGUACUUGGUGUUACUGCGAAGGGGGGACGGAGAAGGCUAUGUUAGCCGGGCGACGGUUGUCCCGGUUUAAGCAUGUAGGCUGGUUGUCCAGGCAAAUCCGGAUAAUCAAGGCUGAGGUGUGAUGACGAGGCACUACGGUGCUGAAGUAACAAAUGCCCUGCUUCCAGGAAAAGCCUCUAAGCAUCAGGUAACAUCAAAUCGUACCCCAAACCGACACAGGUGGUCAGGUAGAGAAUACCAAGGCGCUUGAGAGAACUCGGGUGAAGGAACUAGGCAAAAUGGUGCCGUAACUUCGGGAGAAGGCACGCUGGUGUGUAGGUGAAGUCCCUGCGGAUGGAGCUGAGACCAGUCGAAGAUACCAGCUGGCUGCAACUGUUUAUUAAAAACACAGCACUGUGCAAACACGAAAGUGGACGUAUACGGUGUGACGCCUGCCCGGUGCCGGAAGGUUAAUUGAUGGGGUUAUCCGUAAGGAGAAGCUCUUGAUCGAAGCCCCGGUAAACGGCGGCCGUAACUAUAACGGUCCUAAGGUAGCGAAAUUCCUUGUCGGGUAAGUUCCGACCUGCACGAAUGGCGUAAUGAUGGCCAGGCUGUCUCCACCCGAGACUCAGUGAAAUUGAACUCGCUGUGAAGAUGCAGUGUACCCGCGGCAAGACGGAAAGACCCCGUGAACCUUUACUAUAGCUUGACACUGAACAUUGAGCCUUGAUGUGUAGGAUAGGUGGGAGGCUUUGAAGCGUGGACGCCAGUCUGCGUGGAGCCAACCUUGAAAUACCACCCUUUAAUGUUUGAUGUUCUAACGUUGGCCCCUUACCGGGGUUGCGGACAGUGUCUGGUGGGUAGUUUGACUGGGGCGGUCUCCUCCCAAAGCGUAACGGAGGAGCACGAAGGUUAGCUAAUCCUGGUCGGACAUCAGGAGGUUAGUGCAAUGGCAUAAGCUAGCUUGACUGCGAGCGUGACGGCGCGAGCAGGUGCGAAAGCAGGUCAUAGUGAUCCGGUGGUUCUGAAUGGAAGGGCCAUCGCUCAACGGAUAAAAGGUACUCCGGGGAUAACAGGCUGAUACCGCCCAAGAGUUCAUAUCGACGGCGGUGUUUGGCACCUCGAUGUCGGCUCAUCACAUCCUGGGGCUGAAGUAGGUCCCAAGGGUAUGGCUGUUCGCCAUUUAAAGUGGUACGCGAGCUGGGUUUAGAACGUCGUGAGACAGUUCGGUCCCUAUCUGCCGUGGGCGCUGGAGAAUUGAGGGGGGCUGCUCCUAGUACGAGAGGACCGGAGUGGACGCAUCACUGGUGUUCGGGUUGUCAUGCCAAUGGCACUGCCCGGUAGCUAAAUGCGGAAGAGAUAAGUGCUGAAAGCAUCUAAGCACGAAACUUGCCCCGAGAUGAGUUCUCCCUGAGACUUUAAGUCUCCUGAAGGAACGUUGAAGACGACGACGUUGAUAGGCCGGGUGUGUAAGCGCAGCGAUGCGUUGAGCUAACCGGUACUAAUGAACCGUGAGGCUUAACCUU
Molecule: ribosomal RNA, 2758 nt
Filed under: Klebsiella pneumoniae
Lineage: Bacteria; Pseudomonadati; Pseudomonadota; Gammaproteobacteria; Enterobacterales; Enterobacteriaceae
Description: bacterial LSU rRNA
Rfam family: Bacterial large subunit ribosomal RNA
Source: RNAcentral